CCGGAACCACUGGAGGGCUCGAAAAGCUUNGGGUAGCCCAAACCAGGANNUUAGAUACCCCUUGGUAGUCCACGCCGUAACGAUGUCUACUAGUCUGGGUUCCCUGAGGACUUAGUGACGCAGCUUAACGCAAUAAGUAGACCGCCUGGGGAGUACGCCGCAAGGUUAAAACUCAAAUGAAUUGACGGGGGCCCGCACAACGGUGGAGCAUGUGGUUUAAUUCGAUGCAACGCGAAGAACCUUACCUGGUCUUGACAUAUCUAGAAUCCUGCAGAGAUGCGGGAGUGCCUUCGGGAAUUAGAAUACAGGUGCUGCAUGGCUGUCGUCAGCUCGUGUCGUGAGAUGUUGGGUUAAGUCCCGCAACGAGCGCAACCCUUGUCCUUAGUUACCAGCGGGUUAAGCCGGGAACUCUAAGGAUACUGCCAGUGACAAACUGGAGGAAGGCGGGGACGACGUCAAGUCAUCAUGGCCCUUACGACCAGGGCUACACACGUGCUACAAUGGUAGGUACAGAGGGCAGCUACACAGCGAUGUGAUGCGAAUCUCAAAAAGCCUAUCGUAGUCCAGAUUGGAGUCUGCAACUCGACUCCAUGAAGUAGGAAUCGCUAGUAAUCGCGGAUCAGAAUGCCGCGGUGAAUACGUUCCCGGGCCUUGUACACACCGCCCGUCACACCAUGGGAGUUGAUUGCACCAGAAGUGGAUAGCCUAACCUUUUAGGAAGGCGUUCACCACGGUGUGGUUGAUGACUGGGGUGAAGUCGUAACCAAGGUAGCCGUAGGGGAACCUGUGGCUGGAUCACCU
This 801-nucleotide ribosomal RNA is filed under the name uncultured bacterium. RNAcentral describes it as "bacterial SSU rRNA". It matches the Rfam family "Bacterial small subunit ribosomal RNA", at positions 734 to 1528 of the family's 1533-position model. The record is from RNAcentral.